This 452-nucleotide ribosomal RNA is filed under the name uncultured soil bacterium. RNAcentral's name for it is "bacterial SSU rRNA". It matches the Rfam family "Bacterial small subunit ribosomal RNA", at positions 26 to 464 of the family's 1533-position model. The record is from RNAcentral.
AGAAUCAACGCUGGCGGCGUGCCUAACACAUGCAAGUCGAGCGCGAAAGGGGGGUAACUCCCCAAGUAGAGCGGCGAACGGGUGAGUAACGCGUGGGUAAUCUGCCUCCGAGUGAGGAAUAACAGCGGGAAACUGCUGCUAAUACCGCAUGACAUCGUCGAGCCUUCGGGUUUGACGAUCAAAGCCGGGGACCGCAAGGCCUGGCGCUUGGAGAGGAGCCCCGCGUCCGAUUAGCUAGUUGGCGGGUAACGGCCCACCAAGGCGACGAUCGGUAGCCGGCCUGAGAGGGCGACGGCCACGACGUGGACUGAGACACGGCCCAGACUCCUACGGGAGGCAGCAGUGGGAAUUUUCGGCAAUGGGGAACCUGACGAAGCAACGCCGCGUGAGGAUGAAGGCCGUUCGGGUCGUAAACUCCUAGUCGACGUGGACGAAAGCUACGUCCGUAACCC